Molecule: long non-coding RNA, 4099 nt
Organism: Hypanus sabinus (Atlantic stingray)
Lineage: Eukaryota; Metazoa; Chordata; Chondrichthyes; Myliobatiformes; Dasyatidae
Exons: 8
Source: RefSeq, a predicted model, not a curated record
AAAUAAUCACUUAUUAAAGUAUGUUUAAUGUAUUAGAUCAACACUGGAUGGUUAUAUAUAAGUAUUCCACUGUGUGAUGAACACUUAUUGGUGCUGCUUUGAUCAUAUGAACUUGCACUUUUACCCUAAUAAAACCCUUAACAAAGUGCUAAACAACUUAAUCUGCACUUUAUGCAGGAACUGCUUCUAAGUAAUAGUAUAUGCACCCUAUCUACAUCAAUUGUCGUAAUCGAAAUUGAAUCACUUCAACAAAUAAGUGUGAUUUAUUCAUUGUUGAGCCAAAACUUACCAGGUUUUACAAACAGUGACUGAUCCCGAAAGGCCUUUUUUUAAGAGGCUUAACAGAAAGCAAAAAUAAGUUAUCUGAGCAGACACGAGCAUUAAAGCAAUUCCAGAGAUUUAGAAAUAAAAACAGAAAAUCUCCAACUGGUCGGGUAGCAUAUGUAGAUAUAAAGGUUCAGAGGGUUGAUCUUUGAUCAACAGCAGUUCUGACAGAAAUCAAUUCGGGUUCUUGAUAUGUGUUAUUUAUUUAUUAUUAUUAUUUUGGGUGCUUUUUCGUUUCUUUUUGUAUUUGCGCAGUUGUAUUUUGCACAUUAGUUGUUUGUCGGUCUUUGUUAUCUACAAUUUUUGAUUGAUUCCACUGUUUUUCUUUAUAUUUGCUGUGAAUGCCCGCAAGAAAAUGAACCCCAGGGUAGCAUAUAGUGACACAUGUGUACUUUUAUAAUAAAUUUACUUUGAACUGGAAACUUUGUAGUUUUUUAAAAUUUUCUUUUCAGCAAUAUUAGGUCGCGGAGAUGGUAGUACAACAACGUUGAAGCUGAAUUCUUAGAAAUGGCAUGGGUAUUCGUACUCAAAACACUAGCUGAUAUUUCUCAAGAGCCACGAAUUGCAAGCGUACUCGUUUCUAUCUUCAUUUUUCAUCUUUUAUCGAGGGUCGGAGAAGUGGUAAUGCAGUCGGCAUAAGGGCGGCAGCGAUCGAAAUAGUAAUCGAAGCGGGAAAGUGGGAAAAUGAAAAUGGUCUAGAAUUAUUUUUGAAAACAUCCCAUUUGAUGUUCGUCAUUGUAAUGCACUGAAUAUGUAGACUGGCUUUACAAGUUAUCACCAGCUCGAUGUAGAUUGUUCAAAUUGUCCUCUAAAUUCAUAGAUUUGUAUUUCUUUAUUUUAUAAGUCUCCGUUAUUUUACAAAUAUCUUACACUCCAGACUAUAACAGGCAGAAUGUUGGGCAUGAUCUGACUGUGUUUAAACGGAUCGUUGUUUAGCCAUCAGAGAUAAUCCGCAAGCGGAUCGCGUCACGGGAAAACAAGAGUACGUGUGCCAGAAAUCCCAAAGUUACUAUGUAACCAUGUGAGCAACAACACGCUGUGACAUUUCUGUCGGGGGUUGUUCAAAUAAAAUCCAAAGGAAUUGCAAACUGCCAAGCGUGGUACGGCGCCGCAAAUACAUCCAACCGGUAUGUUCUGAAGACUUAGCGAUAAAACUCCUCCCUGGAAGACUAAAGGGAAUGCCGGAAUCCCUGGUCCCGGCUGACAGGAUCCUAGCUGCUACGGUGGAGGGAGGAUCGGGAGCAAGUAAGAGCUGCGUUCCUCCCGCUCCCAUCUCAGUUUGAUCAUCCAUCGUGACAGAUGGAAACACAUAGCACAAGGCGCAGUUCAGCUAGACUUUUCAGGGACGAGGAUACACGAUACGCCGGAGAUAAAACUGCAAUAAUCUCGAAUUGCAUUGUAUCAGUCUGACACUUAUGACACCAACAGCCUGGUUUCACACUGCAGUUAUUGCACGCAGAUCACGGCGAGAAUGCUGUCACAGUUUACUUUUGCAUCCCGGUCAGAUCAAGAGUCACUUACCGGAUAAUCAAAUGAUCCGCACAACCCACCACAGAGCCCUUCAUGACCGAGAGUGUGUCUGGAUCCAGGCGAAUAUUCCGCAGUGAAGUUACUCGCCGUUCAAAGAUGAAGCGGAUCCCAUGUCGCCACUGAGUUUUCCCAGCAGAUCUCACUCUGACCGCUUGAAUGCAAUAUGAAUACUAAUAUCUGCGCUACACACGGAUGUGGUAUUGGCGAAUCCAUUGGAAACAGCUUUCUUCACCCCUCUUAACAACGAUCAGUUCUAAGACAAUAACUCCUAUGAGUCAAAAACUAUUCAUUGAAUGUGAAAUGUUGGAUACUUUGAAGCAUGUAAUAAAGGCACAUUUCAGUUUUAACUUUCUCGAAUUGUGAAGCUGAAGAAGGUAGACAUGUCAAGUGAUUCAGAAGUAAUAAUGGUGCAUAGUUCCCUGAAGGCGGAAUCUCAUGUGGAUAGGGUGGUGAAGAAAGCUUUUGCACAAAUGGUGGGGCUGAGACCUGUAUUCAUCGUGGCUAUCCGUCGAGGUUGAGGAUGAUGGUCUUCGUUCCGUAGAUCACUUGAAGAUGUGGCCUACAGAGGGAAGACGCCUGUAUGCAUAUUUGUUUAAUGUGUACUUGAUAUUGCACUCCAAGAAGCACACGAUACUUCACAAAUCAACCAACUGAUCCCAAUGGCAUGGAAACCACGACGAUUGGAGCUGAUGGAUUUGUUGCAGCCUUCAUCCACCUUCACAGCCGUUGAGUUCGAAGUAACUUUGUCCACCUGUUCCACUGUUGAGGUCUUGGUUGGAUUGUUCUUUGUCAGGGACCUCACCCUUGACCUUACCGCCAUGGGUGACCCUAUCAGGAGCGUAGCUCCAGACAGCAUCGCUCUUGGGAUCUCAGGACCACACAAUCCAUAGGAAUAAGUCUCCUAGAGUUAUUGAUGGUGCAUCAAGCAGCCCUAUCUUCAUUUCAAGGAUGUCUGCAAGAGAGACAUGAAGUCACUGAACAUGAACGUCGAGAGGUGGGAGGACAUUGCAAGCGAUUGCUCUCACUGGAGGCUGGAACUACGCAGAGGUCUGAAAAGAGGAGAAGAGAAGCUGUGGCUUGCUGCUGAGGAAAAGCGCACUCACCGACAAAACAGCACCAAGACAACACCGGAGGACAGUGUCUUCAAGUGCAGUUGCUGCAGCCGAGACUGUCAUUCCCAUGUGGGCCUGAACAGACAGACACUGCUAUACCAACACAGACUGAAGCAAGACUUUCUAGGUGCACAAAAGACUAAUAGAUGCCAUCAAUCAAUAACAAAUAUACAAAUAAAUAACUGUGUGUUUAAAAACUGCAUAUCACCUUUUAGUUUAUAGUACCUGUUUUGAAUUUCAGUACCUGAAGUACAGUUCUGAUGAAAGGUCAAUAACCUGAAAUGUUGACUCUAUUUUUCUUUCUAUAGAUACUGCCCAACCUGGUGACUAUUUCGGGCAGUUUUGAUUUUAGUUCCUGAAAUAUGAUUUACUUGGCCUUAUUCAAUAUUAGUGAGAUAUUUUCUGCAACAUAUUUCAUAUCUGUUGGCACAAAUAUACAUAUAAAAACUGUAAAUCCUAAGGUAGAUCUUUAAUAUUUUUCCACUUAAACUUAUUUAAAAACUUACAAGCAGAUGCUCUGGUACUUAUAGAUCUAAGCCGUGAUUUAUGGGAGCAUAUGGAUGACUGUAAAAUAUUUGAUUGAAUCUUUAUUGUCUCCUUACGGCUCAAUACAUUGACAAGGGCAUCAGAACAAUGCUAAUAGAUAGGUAGACCGAUGCAAACUGACUUACAAUAAUUUAUAUCACAUGUUUGGUCAAAUGAAGUCUAAAGCAUUCUGUCUGUUCAAAUCAUUCAUCUGAAAAUAUGAUGUACCUCAGUCAUCUCAGAAAAUAAGUUACAGACGGGCCUUAUCAGAUGGAAAGGAAUGUACUGACGUCUGGGAAUUCUAGUAAUUUUUAACUUUUAAAUAAUUUGUGUAACAAAAGCUUGUCAGUUUAAUGUAAAUUUAUAACGUGAAGUAAGUUCCUGUAAAUCGUUCCAUAGUGGGUUUAUUCACAGCUCUGCUGCAGAAACUUCCUUGUUCAUUUUGACGUCAUGCACUCAUCCCAGUUUCUAUUUACUUUAGUCUUUCCUGAAACUAAGGACGACAUAUUGCUGAUUGGCUCACUUCCUUCACAGCAAGCGUUCCCUGUAACAGACAGAGAUGAACAAUGGUUAAAACCCUUGAUAGAUUAAAACAGUUCAGUAUAACA